UUCCAACCAUAACAGCAUCUUCUUUUUUCAAUGCUUUUGAGACUACAUCAAAUUACAAUAUGAAACAGAGCUUAUAACCAAUUAAAACAAUACCAAUGUAUCCUGGAAAAUUAACUGAAUAUAAAAUACAUCAAUUUCCCUGAAGAACAAAAAAAAUUGAGACUCCGGAAAAGAUCAGACUCACACGAUCGAUCUGCUGUGUUGUCAAUGUGGCCUUUCCGUCUCGGCCUGCUCAAAUCACUGUAAUAAUUCUCUAGGCGGUGGACUUUUCUUGGCAGCAUCAGAAAGAGAAAGGCAAACCUUUUCCCUUAAUACCGGUGAGAUCCCUUUCCUAAUCAACCUAUUCAACGUGAUCGAGAAAUUAAAGAGCAGGAGAUACGUAUCAGAAGCUACACUGAUAUGACUCCCGAUUAGCUUUAUUGUAUCUUCGUGUGUAAAAAACUAAUCCCACACUGAUACGACUGGAUCAAAACCUUAAACCCAAGGAUUAACAUGUCGACCAACUGUAAGCAACAAUCAGACAAUACAUAUGAGUAUAUGACAUGAGCUUCAAUUUAAUUGAGAAUAUAUUAUCAUAAGUUAGUCCAGUUGAUCCUUAGUGGAAUUCUGGUGUUUUAAAAAAAGAUUGUUAUUGGUUCUUACCUUUGUCUGUAUUUGAGAUCAUUUGACUUUAAUUUCCUUUCAUGAAGCUUUGAUAUUGCCAUUGUGUUGAAUCUGCAAAAAAAUAUAACUCUUGAGUGGCGUUAGCGAUUAAAAGUGGAUCCGUCGUAUUCGUAAUCUGAUCGGAGAAUGCAAAGCGGCGUCGUAGCAGGAGACUGCAGUUGAGAUUGGAGGAAGAAAGAUAAUCUUAUGGUUUAAUGAUACCAUGAUAAGCUGAUUUAAAGCUUGAGGAGACAAUACCAUUAACUCCUAAAGAAUCUUGA
Molecule: long non-coding RNA, 923 nt
Filed under: Brassica napus (rape)
Lineage: Eukaryota; Viridiplantae; Streptophyta; Magnoliopsida; Brassicales; Brassicaceae
Description: long non-coding RNA (BNAP_LNC004214)
Source: RNAcentral